This 468-nucleotide ribosomal RNA is filed under the name uncultured bacterium. Its description in RNAcentral is "partial 16S ribosomal RNA". It matches the Rfam family "Bacterial small subunit ribosomal RNA", at positions 28 to 507 of the family's 1533-position model. The record is from RNAcentral.
GACGAACGCUGGCGGCGUGCUUAACACAUGCAAGUCGAACGGAAAGGCCCUGCUUUUGUGGGGUGCUCGAGUGGCGAACGGGUGAGUAACACGUGAGUAACCUGCCCUUGACUUUGGGAUAACUUCAGGAAACUGGGGCUAAUACCGGAUAGGAGCUCCUGCUGCAUGGUGGGGGUUGGAAAGUUUCGGCGGUUGGGGAUGGACUCGCGGCUUAUCAGCUUGUUGGUGGGGUAGUGGCUUACCAAGGCUUUGACGGGUAGCCGGCCUGAGAGGGUGACCGGCCACAUUGGGACUGAGAUACGGCCCAGACUCCUACGGGAGGCAGCAGUGGGGAAUAUUGCACAAUGGGCGGAAGCCUGAUGCGGCAACGCCGCGUGCGGGAUGAUGGCCUUCGGGUUGUAAACCGCUUUCGCCUGUGACGAAGCGUGAGUGACGGUAAUGGGCAAAGAAGCACCGGCUAACUACGUG